UCAAGACCUACUGCAGUCAGAGCAACACUGGUUUUGCAUUAUUUUGCUUAUCUCUUGGAAGCUAUUUCUCUAGUGUCUGCUGGCGUCAAUUCACCCAUGGGAAGCCUGCUUUCAGCAUAAUGACUGCCUCUUUGUAGGAUGAAGACCCAUAUAUCCUGAGUGGAGCCUCAAAGAACCCUUCUAAUCUGACCCCUGGAGACUUUUCCAGCUCCAUCGAGGACCAGCACCCUCAGCUCUUUCUUCAGUGUGUGGGCCUUCUUCCUGCUUCUCACCAGCCCAGGCCCAGGCAGCUCCCUCUUCCAGGAAUCCUCUCUUCUGUGGUGACUGCCACACCUACCCCAUUUGCCUAAUUCAUCCCUUCUCAUUUUCCACAUAUCAGCUCAAAUAUCACUUCUUCAGGGAAGCCUUCUCUGAUCCCCAGGCCACUUUAGCCCUUCUUCCUUGUACAUCUUUGAGCACUUUUCCUUAUCAGGCAUCACAGUUUGUGAUA
Molecule: long non-coding RNA, 490 nt
Organism: Nyctereutes procyonoides (raccoon dog)
Lineage: Eukaryota; Metazoa; Chordata; Mammalia; Carnivora; Canidae
Exons: 2
Source: RefSeq, a predicted model, not a curated record